GAUGAACGCUGGCGGCGUGCCUAAUACAUGCAAGUCGAGCGAACAGACGAGGAGCUUGCUCCUCUGACGUUAGCGGCGGACGGGUGAGUAACACGUGGAUAACCUACCUAUAAGACUGGGAUAACUUCGGGAAACCGGAGCUAAUACCGGAUAAUAUAUUGAACCGCAUGGUUCAAUAGUGAAAGACGGCUUUGCUGUCACUUAUAGAUGGAUCCGCGCCGCAUUAGCUAGUUGGUAAGGUAACGGCUUACCAAGGCAACCAUGCGUAGCCGACCUGAGAGGGUGAUCGGCCACACUGGAACUGAGACACGGUCCAGACUCCUACGGGAGGCAGCAGUAGGGAAUCUUCCGCAAUGGGCGAAAGCUUGACGGAGCAACGCCGCGUGAGUGAUGAAGGUCUUCGGAUCGUAAAACUCUGUUAUGAGGGAAGAACAAAUGUGUAAGUAACUAUGCACGUCUUGACGGUACCUAAUCAGAAAGCCACGGCUAACUACGUG
Molecule: ribosomal RNA, 497 nt
Filed under: uncultured bacterium
Lineage: Bacteria
Description: partial 16S ribosomal RNA
Rfam family: Bacterial small subunit ribosomal RNA
Source: RNAcentral